GAUCGAACGGCGUGGCGGCGCACAUAAGACAUGCAAGUCGGAACGGACUUAACCAAGUUAGUUUACUAUUGGAGCGGUUAGUGGCGGACUGGUGAGUAACACGUAAGCAACCUGCCUAUCAGAGGGGAACAACAGUUAGAAAUGACUGCUAAUACCGCAUAUGCCUUAGUAACACAUGUUACAAAAGGGAAAGGAGCAAUCCGCUGAUAGAUGGGCUUGCGUCUGAUUAGAUAGUUGGUGAGGUAACGGCUCACCAAGUCGACGAUCAGUAGCCGGACUGAGAGGUUGAACGGCCACAUUGGGACUGAGAUACGGCCCAG
This 320-nucleotide ribosomal RNA is filed under the name uncultured bacterium. RNAcentral's name for it is "bacterial SSU rRNA". It matches the Rfam family "Bacterial small subunit ribosomal RNA", at positions 37 to 334 of the family's 1533-position model. The record is from RNAcentral.